UCCAAAAUAAAACAGAUUCUAUUGAGUUUAUGCAAAUAGCUAUAUUGCAAUAAAUUAAGAAUAAUCACGGCCAGGUGUGGUGGCUCACGCCUAUUAUCCCAGUACUUUGGGAGGCCGAGGCAGGCAAGGAUCAUAAGUUACUGUAAAAUAAUAGUGAUUCAUUUAACCAAGGUGAUAAUUCAAAGUUUUUUUUUCUUUUUUUUUUUGAGACAGUGUCUCACUCUGUUGCCCAGGCUGGGAUGCAGUGGCACAAUCUCGGCUUACUGCAACCUUCGCCUACCAGGUUCAAGCGAGUCUCCCACCUCAGCCUCCUGAAUAGCUGGGAUUACAUGAGAUAAAUCCCACAUAAAUCCUGCCUUUUGGCCUUCACAAACUUGGCAAAGGAAACUUGCUGACCCCUCCAAGCCUUUUCACAUCAAGUCCAUUUGCCUAGGAAGCUCUCU
RNAcentral lists this long non-coding RNA (443 nucleotides) under Pan troglodytes (chimpanzee). RNAcentral describes it as "long non-coding RNA NONPTRT001032". The record is from RNAcentral. Lineage: Eukaryota; Metazoa; Chordata; Mammalia; Primates; Hominidae.